GGAAACUGGACAUAACUGUGACUUGUGUGCCUGGCUCUGAAUAAUCAGUUAGGCCAGUGAAAUGGGAGUCUCUCUGUGUGUCUGGAAUUUGAACUGAGACCCUAAGUUGGGACCACUCAGAAGUCUGGGAGACUCAAGAGUGAGGUGGCCAUUACAGAGCCACACACAGCACAAGGUAUUAAGUCAGGAGAAACUGAGGCAGCCAGACAGACGGGGAAGGGAGCAGGGCACAGAAAAAACCAAUGAGGAGAGAUACCCAGGGGAGAGGCCAGAGCUGCCUGAUCAAGGACGAUGCCCACCUCCAGGACAGGGACUCUUAAAGUCUGCCCAGGGAUGGCAGGGCUGCCAUGGAGCAGUAUCCCCUGAGAUAUGGCUCUCAUUUUUCUGCUUUCCUACUGGUGUGUUUUUUUGCCACUCUCUAGCCCUGGCUGUACCACUGAGGACUGAAUUUUAACAGGCAGCAGGAAACUGGGAUUCUUAGGUUGCAGGUCACUGGAUCAAGAGGCACCACAUCUACGUGUGAAGCAGGGAUUACUGCCCCUCACUGCUGAUAUGGGAUGCCAACAUACCGCCCUGAGACCCUGCACCUGAGGACGAUGCUGCCCCUGGGGCGGAUCUAGGGCUGCGUUCCCUGGGGAGGGAUGAGGUACUUUGCUUGCAGGAGGGAGAAUGAGCCGGAAGCCAUCAGUAGUCAGGAAUGUGCCCUUUCAGUGUCCCUAGCUCCUGACUUCUGGGCACCUGGUGGGAUUGCACUUUCUGCCUCUUUUGCUUGGGUGGGGCUGUGUGAUAGAUCCCACCAGUGAGCUGUGAGU
RNAcentral lists this long non-coding RNA (812 nucleotides) under Homo sapiens (human). RNAcentral describes it as "HSALNT0222083". Lineage: Eukaryota; Metazoa; Chordata; Mammalia; Primates; Hominidae. The record is from RNAcentral.